Molecule: ribosomal RNA, 253 nt
Filed under: uncultured bacterium
Lineage: Bacteria
Description: partial 16S ribosomal RNA
Rfam family: Bacterial small subunit ribosomal RNA
Source: RNAcentral
UACAGAGGUGGCAAGCGUUGUUCGGAAUUACUGGGCGUAAAGGGCGCGUAGGCGGCCUACUAAGUCAGACGUGAAAUCCCCCGGCUUAACCUGGGAACUGCGUCUGAUACUGGAAGGCUUGAGUAUGGGAGAGGGAUGUAGAAUUCCAGGUGUAGCGGUGAAAUGCGUAGAUAUCUGGAGGAAUACCGGUGGCGAAGGCGGCAUCCUGGACCAUUACUGACGCUGAGGCGCGAAAGCUAGGGGAGCAGACGGG